RNAcentral lists this ribosomal RNA (467 nucleotides) under uncultured bacterium. RNAcentral describes it as "partial 16S ribosomal RNA". It matches the Rfam family "Bacterial small subunit ribosomal RNA", at positions 28 to 507 of the family's 1533-position model. The record is from RNAcentral.
GAUGAACGCUGGCGGCGUGCUUAACACAUGCAAGUCGAACGGAAAGGCCCAAGCUUGCUUGGGUACUCGAGUGGCGAACGGGUGAGUAACACGUGGGUGAUCUGCCCUGCACUUCGGGAUAAGCCUGGGAAACUGGGUCUAAUACCGGAUAGGACCACUUCUUGGAUGUUGUGGUGGAAAGUUUUUUCGGUGUGGGAUGAGCUCGCGGCCUAUCAGCUUGUUGGUGGGGUAAUGGCCUACCAAGGCGUCGCCGGGUAGCCGGCCUGAGAGGGUGUACGGCCACAUUGGGACUGAGAUACGGCCCAGACUCCUACGGGAGGCAGCAGUGGGGAAUAUUGCACAAUGGGCGCAAGCCUGAUGCAGCGACGCCGCGUGGGGGAUGACGGCCUUCGGGUUGUAAACUCCUUUCGCUAGGGACGAAGCGUUUUGUGACGGUACCUGGAGAAGAAGCACCGGCUAACUACGUG